RNAcentral lists this ribosomal RNA (253 nucleotides) under uncultured bacterium. RNAcentral's name for it is "partial 16S ribosomal RNA". It matches the Rfam family "Bacterial small subunit ribosomal RNA", at positions 524 to 776 of the family's 1533-position model. The record is from RNAcentral.
UACGUAGGGGGCGAGCGUUGCCCGGAUUUACUGGGCGUAAAGCGCGCGUAGGCGGUCUCAUAAGUCUGGUGUGAAAUCUCACGACUCAACCGGGAGGCUGCACUGGAUACUGUGAGACUGGAGGGUAGGAGAGGAGAUCGGAAUUCCUGGUGUAGCGGUGGAAUGCGUUGAUAUCAGGAGGAACACCAAUGGCGAAGGCAGAUCUCGGGCCUAUCUCUGACGCUGAGGUGCGAAAGCCAGGGGAGCGAAAGGG